Molecule: long non-coding RNA, 673 nt
Filed under: Mytilus galloprovincialis (Mediterranean mussel)
Lineage: Eukaryota; Metazoa; Mollusca; Bivalvia; Mytilida; Mytilidae
Source: RNAcentral
UACAUAUUUAAAUUUGUGUUUAAUAAUAAAAAGCUGUGGUCAAUACUGCCAAUAAAUCUUAGUUUUACAAGCCAUCUCGAAUAAUAGAAUUUAUGUAAUAUACAUAAAUUCGGUUAUUCUAGUGGAAAGUUUUAAUCUCGGCCGUUGCAGUGCUUUCCUUUAUAAAUUCAUAUGUAGUCGAUAAGAUGUAUAGUGGUGACGUCAAUUUGACGUUAGCGUUCUUUUUAACUUUGAGCUGCAAGUGAACAGACGUGUAUAAUUACAGAGAGAAGUAUUUUGAAAAUACCCACCCUCCCUCCACUAUAUAAAUAGUUAAACCAUUUAGUUUUGUUUGGGUACUGCUCUUUUGUUCUUUUUAUUUUCAGGUACAUGUAUAUUCGAGUAGUUAGAGUUCCAGUAUGAAAAAUUCUUCUCCAUUGAUGAUUUGCCAUGUGAUGUCAAAAAUUGCAGUAGUCAGUUAGAUGUUGGUUGUAUAGAAACAUUUGAUCGUUAAAAAGUGAAAAAUGUGUUUGGCAACUUCGCUGCGUGUGAUAGGCAACUUCGCUGCGUGUGAUAAACUACAGUUACAGUUGUCUAUAUUUUAGUUAUAUUAAAAGUACAUUUUGUGGAUCGCUGUAUCCCAGGAUCCAACAGCUAAGUUAGUUGAUCGCUGUAUCCCAGGAUCAUACAUCUA